CAUGGCUGGUGGCGUACCUCCUGAUCCCGGGCGGUGUCUUCACGUAUGCGCAAGCAUUCAGAUACCAGGCCCGCUCACCGCGGGCUUUUUUUU
Cronobacter sakazakii ATCC BAA-894 is the source of this 93-nucleotide regulatory RNA element. It matches the Rfam family "Tryptophan operon leader". From Rfam's summary of the family: At least 6 amino acid operons are known to be regulated by attenuation. In each a leader sequence of 150-200 bp is found upstream of the first gene in the operon. The record is from Rfam. NCBI's taxonomy places the organism in Bacteria, Pseudomonadati, Pseudomonadota, Gammaproteobacteria, Enterobacterales, Enterobacteriaceae.